Molecule: ribosomal RNA, 459 nt
Filed under: uncultured bacterium
Lineage: Bacteria
Description: partial 16S ribosomal RNA
Rfam family: Bacterial small subunit ribosomal RNA
Source: RNAcentral
CCUACGGGAGGCAGCAGUGAGGAAUAUUGGUCAAUGGGCGGAAGCCUGAACCAGCCAAGUAGCGUGCGGGAUGAAGGCCCUACGGGUCGUAAACCGCUUUUGCACGGGGAUAACACCCUCCACUUGUGGAGGUCUGCAGGUACCGUGCGAAUAAGGGCCGGCUAAUUCCGUGCCAGCAGCCGCGGUAAUACGGAAGGCCCGAGCGUUAUCCGGAUUCAUUGGGCUUAAAGGGAGUGUAGGCGGGCGUUCAAGUCAGCUGUAAAAUCGCGCGGCGCAACCGCGCCCCGCAGUUGAAACUGGACGCAUUGAGUUCACAACAGGCAGGCGGAAUUCGUGGUGUAGCGGUGAAAUGCAUAGAUAUCACGAGGAACCCCGAUUGCGAAGGCAGCCUGCCGGUGUGCGAAUGACGCUGAGGCUCGAAGGUGCGGGUAUCAAACAGGAUUAGAUACCCUUGUAGUC